CCGAGUUGGCGAGGGGCGUGGGCCGUGACGUCACCGCGCCCUGACGUCGGGCAGACGUGUAGCAUGGUCUCCCGGGAGACCGGGAAAGCCGUUCGCACUCGGAGUCGAGGUCUAGAGAGAUUUUCUGGGUUGGCAGUAUUUUCUUCAAUCAGAACCUGCCAAAUUUUCCUACUUGCUAUAUAAGAAGGACCCAAAGUUGGAAUACCUUUACAGAUAAAGAAGAUUAUUUUACUUCAGAACUCCCUCUGCAUAUUUUGAGAAAUUAUGGAUCGUCACAUCCCCAUGCACGCAUUACCUGAAGAAAUCCAAAAGGUGGGUGAAGUGUGUCACUCUUAGUUGUGGGAGCAGUUUCUACAGUCUUAAGGGAGUUUUCAUUAAGAAUGUCCCCUGAAGAAAAAGUUUGUAAGUACUGUGGAGUCAGCUAUCUAAUUCUUCACGAGUUUAAAGCUAUGGAAGAAAAAAUGAAAGCGAUGGAAAAAGAGAUGAAAUUUUAUCAAGGAAGUGUAGAUCGUGAAAAGAGACUUCAAGAAAAGCUACGGUCUCUUAGUCAAGAUUUUGAACAGUACAAAAUUGACAAUGAAUCCAAAACAGAAAGAAUUUGGGAUGCAAGUAUGCAGUUAAAAAGUCAACAAAAUGAAUUGAAGAGAGUACAGAAAGAAUUGAGUCAUUUGCAACAUGAAUUAAAUAUUAAACAGAGACAAUCACAAGCAUUCAGUCAAAGAUUGGUGGAGUACAAAUAUUUGUGGAAUAAGACUCUUUCAUUACUUACUUUUACUAAAAGGGAGCUAACCAGUAUUAAAAAUGAAGUAUAUGACAAUUUUCAAAACUGGACUUCACUGAAAGGAGAAGUUUUUCUACAAAUUAAAUCCAUAAGUGAAACAGCCUUGACAGAAAUAGAGAUACUAAAGAAAAGUUUGACAGUGUCCCAGAGAAAUAAGAUGUGCCUUGAAGAGGAAAUGAAAAAUCUGAAAUUGUUGUCAGAUGCAGCCAUACUGAGGUCUCAGCAGAUUCAGACAUCCCAACAACAGGAAGCAAACUUGCAAACCAGAUGCCAUGACUUGGAAAAAGAAGUACUAGGUUUACAAUGUCAAGUAGAGGCACUUGGUCUAAAACAUCAGAAGGCAGUGACAGAGAUUGACAACUAUAAAGAAAAGCUCAUGAAUAAAUCUGAUGAAGCUGAUGACUGUCAAAGAGAACUUAGAAAACUGAAGUUUGAAUCCAUUAUUUCUGAGUCACGGCAUACCAGAUUGCUUAAAGAGAAAGAGGAUUCUUUAAUGGCUUGUCAACAAAUAUAUAAAACUUUACAGGAAGAACUGACUGUGAAAAAAAGACAAGAAGAAGACAUAAAAAGAAGAAUUAACUUUGCAGAAAAUGAACUACAGAUAACCAAAACUCUUCUGCAUCAGACAAAGGAAGAGGUUGUAACGCUGAAAAGUGAAAGGGAAUUAAUGCUGAUUUCACAUCAGAAAAGCAUCGAGCAGCUGCAGGAAACCCUUAGACAGAAGCUGCUGAAUGAUGAUAACUGGAGAGAGAAGAUUGAAGCUGAACUUGCCAAGGAAAGAGCCCAGCAUUUAGUUGAGUUUGAGGAGCAAGCUCUGCUUUUUAAAGCAGAAGCUAAACUGGAACUUGAUAUUGAAAAGGAAAAACAUCAAGAAAUAAUCUGUAAAUAUAAGAAAGAACAAGAGGAACUAAAAAUGAAGAUAUCUGAUUUAAUCACAAGUGCUACUAGAGAUCUAAAGCUGGAAGUGGCCACCCUUGAAGAAAAACUCCAUGAAUCUUGUAUCCGACAUACUGAAGAUUCUGAAUCAAAGGAGAAAGAAAUUGAAAACCUUAAAAAUUUGGUUGCAGAAUUUGAAGCCCGCCUGAAGAAAGAAACUGACAGUAACGAAUCCAUUUCAGAGGACUUGAGGAAGGAAAUGAAGCUGAAGUCCGAUGAGCUAGAUAGAGUAAUGCUGGCACAAACACAACUGAUGCAGCAGUUUAACCAGUCCCAGGAACAGAACACUUUUCUUCAGGAAACAGUGCGCAGGGAGUGUGAAGAACGCUUUGAACUGACACAGGCUUUGAGCCAAGCCAGAGAACAGCUUCUGGAGCUCAGGAAGCUCAGUGGAAGUUUACCUUUGUCGCCGUGUUCCCUUAACCAGGGCAGCCUAACCUCCUCUGCUGCAGUGGUCAGCAGUCGGGGAGAGAGAAGCCUUACAAGACUGAACUCUGGAAAAGGAAUCAAAAUCCCCAGCCUGUAUGGAGUGUCAAAACCCACCACUGCCCCAACCUCAGUUCAACCCAAGAGGGUCAGCAGCUCAGGUACAUUCUUAACUCUCAAUGGCCCCCAGAUACCCAGAGUUUCUGCAACCAUUCCCACCCCUCCAGAAUUAGGACAGCUCUCGAAGGACACAGGGAAAGAUUCCAGGGAAGGCAAAUCCAACCAACCUCACCAGGUUCAAGCGCUUGCCCUGGGGCCAGGGACAGGAAGGCACCUUGACUAAACAGCUUCCCAUGUGUGGAAGAGGAAGAAGAGACCAGAUUCCUUCCGCAGAUACCUCCAUCAUCAAGGCAGGCAGUGACAGCAUGACAAAGGGGACAGUGUUUUAUUUGCUUUGUGUGUUUGGGGUAACUAAGUGCUGGCCCCAUGAGGCCUGACCAGUGGGACUUUGCUAACUGUGAGGAGGCAGCCUGGAUAUAUCACAGCAAGAAGAUGGUUUCCACAGGGCACGAAGCUGGAGGGUGUUAUCUCUGUCACUGUUCACGAGGCAGCGGUGAUGUAGGCACCAUUACUUCCACGGGUGCUCACAAGGACACUGAGGCUGGGAGAAGCCCAGUGACUAACUCAAACCCCAUGACCAUGUGCUGGCAGCCUAAAACCCAGCCAGGGCUUUCCAACUCUGACUGUGCUUUGCAUUCAGUAAGCCCUGAUUUUUAGUUUCUCCCACCAGUACGACUAUACCGAUCCCUGCCUGCCAGCUCUCUCCCCAGCCAGCCCACAGGGGUCAUCUCCUUGGCAGCUGAGGCAGACAGAAGGGGCCAGACACUCAGCCAGGGCCUGGAGCCCACUGGCCCCGGGGCCCCACGUGCACUCUGGACCACAUCUCAUGCUGCCCGCCCUGCAUUCCAAACCCCGGUCACAGCUCCAGAAAGAUGCACAUUUUAAAGCAGUACUAUUGUCUGGCUUGUAAGCCUAGUUUCUGGGAGGGGGAGAGAGAGAAUGAAUCUCAAGCAGACACCACGCCGAAUGUGACCUUGGGAUCAUGACCUGAGCGGAAAUCAAGAGUCAGCUGUUCAACCGACUCAGCCACCCAGGCGCCCUGACCCAGCAGCCAUUUAAAGGUUUGUCCCUAUGGACGCCUUCAUGAUUUCUCUCUAGCUUUCUCUAAAAAUGAAGUGGAGGAACGUCCGUGAUGCCUGGAACAUAUCAAUUCAAAGGUCAUGAGUUGAAAUGUGAUAACAACUCAGAUUACAGGAUUGUCAACUUCCAAGCUCCCAUGACCUUAACUGAAGGGCUGAAGGGUUGGGACGAGACCAAGAGGGCUUAACAACACUGUGAGCUGCCAUAGCAUUGGAUGUGCUGAGUGCUCAAAAUUCAGGUAUUGUCCGAUUAAUCCACAUAUUCUUUUACUACACACUUAGGGGAUGCUAUUAUAAGAUUCCCGCCUCAGCUAGGAAUUCAGUUAGCUACCAGAUGUCCUCCUGCUGGGAUCCUGGCUUCUACAAAACAGCCACUGGCCCAUCUCAGGAGUGCUGUUUUAUCACUAUGCUAUGCUAGGCACUAGGGACCGGAAGGUGAAGAAAAGUGUCCUUCCCCCCAGGAGUUGCAGCCUAGCAGGCCCAUCAAUCAGGAUAGCACAGUGCGGUGUGCUACAGCACAGGCAGGGGCAAGGUGCCGUGUCCCCAAGGCAAGGGACAGGAGCUCUGCCUGACUGAAUCAGGAAGGUUUUCCAGGAGGCACAUCUAAGCCAGGGGUCAAGGGGUAAGCAAGAAUUUAGCUGGAGAAGAGGAGACUGGUUGUUUUGGGCAGAAAAAGUAGCUUAUACAGAGUCACAAAGACACCUAAGAAUAAGGUGUGACCAAAAAGUAAUGGCCCACGGGUGAUGGUGGGGCUAUAGCAGGAGGUGAGACUGGAGACGGCACUGGUGGGUCACGUAGGCCCUUCACUACCUGCUUUGGGUACUGGUGUUAGUAUUAGAGGUUCUCUUCCUGCAUGACAAAUCACCCCAAAACUUAGGUGCUUAAAACAACAAACAUGUAUUCUCUCACCAUUCCUGCGGGUCAGGAAUCCAGGCAUGGUUUAGUGGUCCUCUGACUCAAGGUCUCACGGGCUGCAAUCCAGGUAUCAGCCAGGGCCGCAGUUACCUCAAGGUUCGACUGGGGGAGGAUCACCUUCCAGGCUCACUCGCCUGGCCGUCAGCCAAUCUCAGGUCCUCGCUGGCUGCUUGCUAGAGACAUCAGUUCCUUGCCACAUGGGCCUCUCCAUAGGGCAGCUCACAACUUGGCAGCUGGCAGAGAGAGAGAGAAAGAGAGAGAAAGACAGAUGACAGAGACAGAGAAACAGGGAGAGAGGUCGAGAGAAAGACACGGUCUUUUUGUAAUCUAAUCUCAGAAAUGACAUCCCAUCCCUUUUGUUCAUUCUGUUGAAAGAGACUCACCAGGUCCAGCCCACAUGCCCACAGGUGAGGGGGUUUACACAGGGUGUGAAUACUCGCAGGUGAUGAUCACCGGGGUCAUUUUAGAGGCUGCCUACCACAUACAUGAGAGCUAUUUAAGACACAAUCCCAGCAUCAUCCCAUUCUGCAUAAAUUAUAGAGAGAGACAUAUAAUUUCACUGCCUAUGAGGUUGUUUUUGUUGAUGGGUACACUCUGGUCCCGAAGAGCCCUGAAGAACAAUGUGCUUCAUUUCACAUCUCUCCCUAAGGAUUUUAUACAACCCACUUGGCACUCACGCCGUUAUUAUUACGUGGAUUCAGCCCAAAGCUGCCUGUGUGGGUAGAGAGAGGUGGGAAGGUGAGGAGGCAGAGAGAGGAAGUGAUCGGGACCCCAGAUUGGACGAGAAAAAGGUCACACGCCAACUGAAAAUUAGAAAUGAAUCUGAGUGGAACUAAGUAUCGUGGUUGACAGCUCACACACGCGGAGCCAACUUGCCACAGCUUGGCCGCAGACCUUGGUUUUCCCACACGCAACUGAAAAUAACUAACAUUCAUCCUGAGGGAGUGCCACUAAAAUAAGUAACUACUGGGAGCUAUACCUCACUGUUCAUUCAAGCUGGAAGCAGUCUGCAAUUACUUGGCUGAAAUUAGACACAAAUUAAAUUGCCACUUCCGGAACCCUUUUCUCCGGUACUAUAUUGCAAAACAGAAACUGCUUUUUGAACUCUGACGGUUUAGAUUUUGUUUCCUUCCUUACAAAUAAAUGCGAUAUCCGACAGACUCUCCACAAGGGCAGAUUACUGACACUAACCUCUCGGGAGACCUAAUCUUUUCAGAAGCCUGGUUUUCUGAGUUGCAGACCUGGGUUUAAUUGUUAUGGACAGAGUGACAGGCUGGUGAAAGGGACUAGAGAGGAGAGCUACUUGCCCACAUUUGAAGUAGAGUGCAUGGUGGAGGAGAGGGGGCUAGCAGAGAAUUUUGCCCUGAGAUAUAUGUGGAUGGCUUUGCUCCCAGUUUUUUUGGUCAUCUGAAAGCUCUCAGGUCUGCAUCCAUCUAAUUUUUUUUUUUUAAUUUUUUCAAUCUUUGUGUUUGAGAGAGAGACAGAACGUGAGCAGGGGAGGAGCAGAGAGAGAAGGAGACACAGAAACCGAAGCAAGCUCCAGGCUCUGAGCUGUCAGCACACAGCUGGACACGGGGCUCGAAUUCAUGAACCGCGAGAUCAUGACCUGAGCCGAAGUUGGAUGCUCAACCAGCUGAGCCACCCAAGGCAUCCCAUUCUGCAUCCAUUCAAAUAUGGAAGUUCUCCUAUGAUUUUUAAAAACAAAAUUAACACACAUACGUGAAAACAGUAAUAAUGAUACCUCGAGGGUCUCCCCUCAAACUUGUCUAAGAAGGAACUGGCAUGCAGAUAAUGUGGGUGUUUGGGGGUUUUCUGUUACAAAAGAGCCUGAACUGUAUUAUCUCCUUAAUAAAACACCAUCUUCCUGUCAAGGAAGAACCUGCCA
This is an RNA transcript of Felis catus (domestic cat), 6142 nucleotides long. It is a transcript of the gene named leucine, glutamate and lysine rich 1, with no coding region annotated. NCBI's taxonomy places the organism in Eukaryota, Metazoa, Chordata, Mammalia, Carnivora, Felidae. The record is from RefSeq and is a predicted model, not a curated record. The transcript is spliced from 23 exons.